This 654-nucleotide ribosomal RNA is filed under the name uncultured archaeon. RNAcentral describes it as "bacterial SSU rRNA". It matches the Rfam family "Archaeal small subunit ribosomal RNA", at positions 508 to 1160 of the family's 1478-position model. The record is from RNAcentral.
GCCUAAAGCGUCCGUAGCCGGCUCUGUAAGUUUUCGGUUAAAUCCAUAUGCUCAACAUAUGGGCUGCCGGGAAUACUGCAUAGCUAGGGAGUGGGAGAGGUAGACGGUACUCCGUAGGAAGGGGUAAAAUCCCUUGAUCUAUGGAUGACCACCUGUGGCGAAGGCGGUCUACCAGAACACGUUCGACGGUGAGGGAUGAAAGCUGGGGGAGCAAACCGGAUUAGAUACCCGGGUAGUCCCAGCUGUAAACUAUGCAAACUCAGUGAUGCAUUGGCUUGUGGCCAGUGCAGUGCCGCAGAGAAGUCGUUAAGUUUGCCGCCUGGGAAGUACGUACGCAAGUAUGAAACUUAAAGGAAUUGGCGGGGGAGCACCACAAGGGGUGAAGCCUGCGGUUCAAUUGGAGUCAACGCCAGAAAUCUUACCCGGAGAGACAGCAGGAUGAAGGUCAAGUUGAAGCCUUUACCAGACAAGCUGAGAAGUGGUGCAUGGCCGUCGCCAGCUCGUGCCGUGAGGUGUCCUGUUAAGUCAGGUAACGAGCGAGAUCCUUGCCUCUAGUUGCCACCAUUACUCUCAGGAGUAGUGGGGUGAAUUAGCGGGACUGCCGUAGUUAAUACGGAGGAAGGAGAGGGCCACGGCAGGUCAGUAUGCCCCGAA